RNAcentral lists this ribosomal RNA (497 nucleotides) under uncultured bacterium. RNAcentral's name for it is "partial 16S ribosomal RNA". It matches the Rfam family "Bacterial small subunit ribosomal RNA", at positions 28 to 507 of the family's 1533-position model. The record is from RNAcentral.
GAUGAACGCUGGCGGCGUGCCUAAUACAUGCAAGUCGAGCGAACAGACGAGGAGCUUGCUCCUCUGACGUUAGCGGCGGACGGGUGAGUAACACGUGGAUAACCUACCUAUAAGACUGGGAUAACUUCGGGAAACCGGAGCUAAUACCGGAUAAUAUAUUGAACCGCAUGGUUCAAUAGUCAAAGACGGUUUUGCUGUCACUUAUAGAUGGAUCCGCGCCGCAUUAGCUAGUUGGUAAGGUAACGGCUUACCAAGGCAACGAUGCGUAGCCGACCUGAGAGGGUGAUCGGCCACACUGGAACUGAGACACGGUCCAGACUCUUACGGGAGGCAGCAGUAGGGAAUCUUCCGCAAAGGGCGAAAGCCUGACGGAGCAACGCCGCGUGAGUGAUGAAGGUCUUCGGAUCGUAAAACUCUGUUAUUAGGGAAGAACAAAUGUGUAAGUAACUAUGCACGUCUUGACGGUACCUAAUCAGAAAGCCACGGCUAACUACGUG